Molecule: ribosomal RNA, 540 nt
Filed under: uncultured bacterium
Lineage: Bacteria
Description: bacterial SSU rRNA
Rfam family: Bacterial small subunit ribosomal RNA
Source: RNAcentral
AGAGUUUGAUCCUGGCUCAGAACGAACGCUGGCGGCGUGGAUAAGACAUGCAAGUCGAACGAGACUUUUCGUUGUAGCAAUACGAUGGAAAGUUUAGUGGCGAACGGGUGCUUAACACGUGGGCAACCUGCCAUGAAGUGGGGGAUAGCUCGCCGAAAGGCGAAUUAAUACCGCAUGUGAUUAGAGAGGACAUCCUUUCGAAAUUAAAGUCGGGGCAACCUGACGCUUCUUGUGGGGCCCGCGGCCUAUCAGCUAGUUGGUGAGGUAACGGCUCACCAAGGCUUUGACGGGUAGCUGGUCUGAGAGGACGACCAGCCACACUGGGACUGAGACACGGCCCAGACACCUACGGGUGGCAGCAGUCGAGAAUUUUUGACAAUGGGGGAAACCCUGAUCGAGCGACGCCGCGUGGAGGAUGAAGGUCUUCGGAUUGUAAACUCCUGUCAUUGGGGAACAAGGUGCAUAUGUUAACUGCGUGUGUAUUGAUAGUACCCGAAGAGGAAGAGACGGCUAACUCUGUGCCAGCCGCCGCGGUAAUAC